UAUUACAAACUCAUUGAUACCAAUGCAGUGUACAAACUGAAAUCCAUCCUCUUAGUAUUAUAAGAUGUUUAUUCCACAAGCAUAACAGACACACGAACAAUAUAUAGCAGGUCCAAUGAACUGACCAAGCUCAGACAAACACACUCCCAAGCCACACGAGGGAGUCAAACAACUGCUGCUUAGUCAAUCACUCAAGGUGCACACACAUCGGUGCGAGCAGCCAAGAACCAUGCUGCUUCUUAUUUGAAAGCCACAAUGCUAGGUGCGAGCCACCACAAGCUCACACCUGACAGACACAACAACACAAAGCAGCAGUAGGAGCCGAUCGAUCGAUGACCGACACCACCUGCAAAUCUCUUUCAAGCAACCCGGGAAGCACACAACAAACCAAACACAUGCAGCAGACAACAGGACCUGCAGGAUUGGGCGUCCAUCUGGUCUCCCAUUAAGGAUGGAAGAACCACAUCGGUGAAGCG
Molecule: long non-coding RNA, 476 nt
Filed under: Hordeum vulgare
Lineage: Eukaryota; Viridiplantae; Streptophyta; Magnoliopsida; Poales; Poaceae
Description: long non-coding RNA (HVUL_LNC021485)
Source: RNAcentral